RNAcentral lists this long non-coding RNA (229 nucleotides) under Medicago truncatula (barrel medic). Its description in RNAcentral is "long non-coding RNA (MTRU_LNC005700)". Lineage: Eukaryota; Viridiplantae; Streptophyta; Magnoliopsida; Fabales; Fabaceae. The record is from RNAcentral.
UGUUGUUUGAAAUGUAUCUCUAACUAGUGGACAAAUUGGCGUGGGAAAUUCACUUCAUUAUCUUUUAUAAGUUUAUUUUGCAUUAAAAAAAAGUUUACAAGGCGAUCUUUAAUAGAUCGAGAUAGAUAGUUGGCCGAAUUGGAGCAGCGUUUUGUUGAUGUUGAAAGUGUGUACGCUACCUGCAGACAGUUUUCAAGUCAAUAAGAGAACAAUAGUCAAUGAAUGAGAG